CUUGCAGGAGCCGCUUCCCCAGCAAUAACAGAGGCUACAACAACGUGGGGUACCGACAACAGUAUCCCAGAUACAACAGGUUCAACAGAUACAACAGCUAUGGCAGUGACAGCUCUGACAGCUCAGACAGCAGCGACAGCAGCGACAGCAGCGACAGCAGCGACAGCAGCGACAGCAGCGACAGCAGUGACAGCAGCGAAGAGAGGGGUCGCUACAAUUUCUACAGAAGAUACUAAUGUUCGUGGACUGCGGAGACUGGUGUUGAUUCAUCACAAUGCGUCUGUUACUUUCUAUACUGUCUUAAUGAAGUAAAUGAAAACUGUCAAAGUUAGUACGUUAGGACUAGAUUUGUACACGUUUUUCUUGACAAGUUUUUUUACUUGAAUUUUUGUUGUUGUUGUGUGAUUUCUUUGAUACUAAAAUAAAUAUUGUGGUUCUGUCUAGAGGUUUCAUACUUUGAAAACCUUCAAAUAAAGUCAAUGGAAAAGGGAAA
Long non-coding RNA from Aplysia californica (California sea hare), 493 nucleotides. RefSeq lists it as uncharacterized. The record is from RefSeq and is a predicted model, not a curated record. Lineage: Eukaryota; Metazoa; Mollusca; Gastropoda; Aplysiida; Aplysiidae. The transcript has 2 exons.